RNAcentral lists this ribosomal RNA (176 nucleotides) under Brama dussumieri (lesser bream). RNAcentral describes it as "partial 12S rRNA". The record is from RNAcentral. Lineage: Eukaryota; Metazoa; Chordata; Actinopteri; Scombriformes; Bramidae.
CACCGCGGUUAUACGAGAGGCCCAAGUUGACAGACAUCGGCGUAAAGCGUGGUUAAGACCCCCCCCCCCACUAAAGUCGAACACCCUCAGAGCAGUUAUACGCAUCCGAGGGCACGAAGCUCCAUCACGAAAGUGACUUUACCCGCCCCCCCCCUGACCCCACGAAAGCUACGAAA